RNAcentral lists this long non-coding RNA (1255 nucleotides) under Hordeum vulgare. RNAcentral describes it as "long non-coding RNA (HVUL_LNC018890)". Lineage: Eukaryota; Viridiplantae; Streptophyta; Magnoliopsida; Poales; Poaceae. The record is from RNAcentral.
CUGUGAGUGGGCGGCGGCGGCGGCGCCUCCAGGAUCCAUAGUUUUUGACAUCAAAAACUGGUUGCAGCGGGCGCGGGCGGUGCUGGCGCACCUCCUAAUGGCGACAGGUGAGGGUUAUUCCCCCGUUGGUCAAAACUUGAUUUCCUUUUUGAUCCGAGAGACAACCGCGCGAGGAGUUGUAGAAUCAAUGGCAGGCUGUCCAUCUUCGUGGAGGAGUCAUGCAUCGCAGCUGUUCUAAUCAUGGCGUUGAAGCUUGACACGCCCUUCUGUAAGUUCUGCUGGUGGUUGACGUUAUUGGUUGUACGAAGCUUUCUUAUGCAGCAAUGUCAAUUCAUCUUUGCAGCGAAGUUUGCGACAAAUGAUAAUUUUCGAUUUGCGGCAAAUUAGUGGGAGGGGUCGGCUGAUGGUGGCAUGAGCCAUGGCCUGGAGAGAACGAGCGCUGUCCGCGUACCAGAUCUGCAAGGAAACCAUGAAGUGGUCGUCGUGGAGGAGCAAAACUUAGUACAGGUGCUGCGGGAUGUGGUGACACCGGAGUUCGAUCUGUCCGAAGCCUGCGGCAGACGGGGAAGACGAAGCUGGGCAAGACUUAGUAUAGGUGUCGUGGGAUGUGGUGUCGCCGGAGUUCGAUCUGUCCGACGCCGACGUGAAGCCUGCGGCAGACGGGGAAGACAAAGCUGACUACGGCGUCGAGCUUGUGGCAGAGCACGAUCCCGACACCCACCCUGCACAUGAUGGAAACUGUUGGUACUAGACCGUCCAAGUCCGUCUGUACCGAUGUGGUGUUAACGAGCCAGGACAUUUCCACCGUCUAGGACGUGGGCCAGGGGUCCAUUUAUUUAAGACGAAUACGCUAGGAAAUACUUGCAGAGGCGAGCAUCACGAGGUGCCUGCGCGGUCGAGAUUGCAGGAGCAUCUGGACCUGAGAGCCAAAUUGCAUUUCCGGUGACUAUCUCCCUAUAUUAACCCAUUCAUGUAAUCUUUCAUGAUCAUCUCCAACUUGGUAUCAGUUUUCCAGAAAUCCCAUGGCCGAGCAUGCCGCCUCCUCCUCCUCCUCUUUCGCUGCCCUGAGCUCCGGCUCCACGCCGGCCGCCGCCUCCUCCAAGGCGUCCAACGCCGCCCACGCUACCUCGGCCUCCCCCGUGGCGCCUACGCCGCCCUUCCUCUUUCAAGGUUCUUCUCCCGUCCCUGGAUCUCAGUUCACCCCCCUUUUCAUCUCACCUCCGCCGCCAUCCACGCCGACGCCAUCCACACCCCG